ACUUGGCUCUCGCCCUCCGGCCGGGAAGCAUGGGGCUUCCCAGGCUGGUCUGCGCCUUCUUGCUCGCCGCCUGCUGCUGCUGUCCUCGCGUCGCGGGUGUGCCCGGAGAGGCUGAGCAGCCUGCGCCUGAGCUGGUGGAGGUUGAAGUGGGCAGCACAGCCCUUCUGAAGUGCGGCCUCUCCCAGUCCCAAGGCGACCUCAGCCAUGUCGACUGGUUUUCUGUCCACAAGGAGAAGCGGACGCUCAUCUUCCGUGUGCGGCAGGGCCAGGGCCAGAGCGAACGUGGGGAGUACGAGCAGCGGCUCAGCCUCCAGGACAGAGGGGCUACUCUGGCCCUGACUCAAGUCACCCCCCACGACGAGCGCAUCUUCUUGUGCCAGGGCAAGCGCCCUCGGUCCCAGGAGUACCGCAUCCAGCUCCGCGUCUACAAAGCUCCGGAGGAGCCAAACAUCCAGGUCAACGCCCUGGGCAUCCCUGUGAACAGUAAGGAGCCUGAGGAGGUCGCUACCUGUGUAGGGAGGAACGGGUACCCCAUUCCUCAAGUCAUCUGGUACAAGAAUGGCCGGCCUCUGAAGGAGGAGAAGAACCGGGUCCACAUUCAGUCGUCCCAGACUGUGGAGUCGAGUGGUUUGUACACCUUGCAGAGUAUUCUGAAGGCACAGCUGGUUAAAGAAGACAAAGAUGCCCAGUUUUACUGUGAGCUCAACUACCGGCUGCCCAGUGGGAACCACAUGAAGGAGUCCAGGGAAGUCACCGUCCCUGUUUUCUACCCGACAGAAAAAGUGUGGUUGGAAGUGGAGCCCGUGGGAAUGCUGAAGGAAGGGGACCGCGUGGAAAUCAGGUGUUUGGCUGAUGGCAACCCUCCACCACACUUCAGCAUCAGCAAGCAGAACCCCAGCACCAGGGAGGCAGAGGAAGAGACAACCAACGACAACGGGGUCCUGGUGCUGGAGCCUGCCCGGAAGGAACACAGUGGGCUCUAUGAAUGUCAGGGCCUGGACUUGGACACCAUGAUAUCGCUGCCGAGUGAACCACAGGAACUACUGGUGAACUAUGUGUCUGACGUCCGAGUGAGUCCCGCAGCCCCUGAGAGACAGGAAGGCAGCAGCCUCACCCUGACCUGUGAGGCAGAGAGUAGCCAGGACCUCGAGUUCCAGUGGCUGAGAGAAGAGACAGGCCAGGUGCUGGAAAGGGGGCCUGUGCUCCAGUUGCAUGACCUGAAACGGGAGGCAGGAGGCGGCUAUCGCUGCGUGGCGUCUGUGCCCAGCAUAUCCGGCCUGAACCGCACACAGCUGGUCAACGUGGCCAUUUUUGGCCCCCCUUGGAUGGCAUUCAAGGAGAGGAAGGUGUGGGUGAAAGAGAAUAUGGUGUUGAAUCUGUCUUGUGAAGCGUCAGGGCACCCCCGGCCCACCAUCUCCUGGAACGUCAACGGCACGGCAAGUGAACACCACCAAGAUCCACAGCGAGUCCUGAGCACCCUGAAUGUCCUCGUGACCCCAGAGCUGUUGGAGACAGGUGUUGAAUGCACGGCCUCCAACGACCUGGGCAAAAACACCAGCGUCCUCUUCCUGGAGCUGGGUGAGGGCUGCAUCCCUGCAGGGAAUGGCAGGGGCAGGCCCAGGCACGGGCAGUAACUUGCGCUUCUCCUAACACCCCUCCCUCUGCCUCCUAGUCAAUUUAACCACCCUCACACCAGACUCCAACACAACCACUGGCCUCAGCACUUCCACUGCCAGUCCUCAUACCAGAGCCAACAGCACCUCCACAGGUAAGCCAGGCCUGGCAAGAGAACAGGGCUGUGCCAGGGCAUCCUUUCUGCCCUGUCCCUCCUCAGAGAGCCCUGUCCAGAAAGGUGAGUAGCAGCCCCAUCUUGUCGGCCCUAGACUGGCUGGGGCAACGAUGGUGACAUGGUGGCCUGGGGCAGGGAGUGACGAGGAGUGUCUUUGUGGCGCAGAGAGAAAGCUGCCAGAGCCGGAGAGCCAGGGCGUGGUCAUCGUGGCUGUGAUUGUGUGCAUCCUGGUCCUGGCGGUGCUGGGCGCUGUCCUCUAUUUCCUCUAUAAGAAGGGCAAGCUGCCGUGCGGGCGCUCAGGGAAGCAGGAGAUCACGCUGCCCCCGUCUCGUAAGAGUGAAUUUGUAGUUGAAGUUAAGUCAGAUAAGCUCCCAGAAGAGAUGGGCCUCCUGCAGGGCAGCAGCGGUGACAAGAGGGCUCCGGGAGACCAGGGAGAGAAAUACAUCGAUCUGAGGCAUUAGCCCCGAAUCACUUCAGCACCCUUCCCUGCCUGGACCAUUCCCAGCUCCCUGCUCACUCUUCUCUCAGCCAAAGCCUCCAAAGGGACUAGAGAGAAGCCUCCUGCUCCCCUCACCUACACACCCCCUUUCAGAGGGCCACUGGGUUAGGACCUGAGGACCUCACCUGGCCCUGCAAGGCCCGCUUUUCAGGGACCAGUCCACCACCAUCUCCACGUUGAGUGAAGCUCAUCCCAAGCAAGGAGCCCCAGUCUCCCAAGCGGGUAGGAGAGUUUCUUGCAGAACGUGUUUUUUCUUUACACACAUUAUGGCUGUAAAUACCUGGCUCCUGCCAGCAGCUGAGCUGGGUAGCCUCUCUGAGCUGGUUUCCUGCCCCAAAGGCUGGCUUCCAUCAUCCAGGUGCACCACUGAAGUGAGGACACACCGGAGCCAGGCACCUGCUCAUGUUGAAGUGCGCUGUUCACACCCGCUCUGGAGAGCACCCCAGCAGCAUCCAGAAGCAGCUGCAGUGUUGCUGCCACCUCCCUCCUGUCUGCCUCUUCAAAGUCUCCUGUGACAUUUUUUCUUUGGUCAAAAGCCAGGAACUGGUGUCAUUCCUUAAAAGAUAUGUGCCAGGGCCGGGUGCGGUGGCUCACGCCUGUAAUCCCAGCACUUUGGGAGGCCGAGGCGGGCGGAUCACAAGGUCAGGACAUCGAGACCAUCCUGGCUAACACGGUGAAACCCCGUCUCUACUAAAAAUACAAAAAAAAUUAGCCGGGCAUAGUGGUUGGCACCUAUAGUCCCAGCUACUCGGAAGGCUGAAGCAGGAGAAUGGUGUGAAUCCAGGAGGUGGAGCCUGCAGUAAGCCGAGAUCGUGCCACUGCACUCCCACCUGGGUGACACAGCGAGACUCCGUCCCGAGAAGAAAAAAAAAAAAAAAAAAGAAA
RNAcentral lists this small RNA (3173 nucleotides) under Pongo abelii (Sumatran orangutan). RNAcentral's name for it is "retained intron". The record is from RNAcentral. Lineage: Eukaryota; Metazoa; Chordata; Mammalia; Primates; Hominidae.